AUUGAACGCUGGCGGCAUGCUUUACACAUGCAAGUCGAGCGGCAGCGCGGGGCAACCCUGGCGGCGAGCGGCGAACGGGUGAGUAAUGCAUCGGAACGUACCCUGGAGUGGGGGAUAACGCCGCGAAAGCGGCGCUAAUACCGCAUAUGCUCUGAGGAGGAAAGUGGGGGACCGCAAGGCCUCACGCUCUGGGAGCGGCCGAUGUCCGAUUAGCUAGUUGGUGGGGUAAAGGCUUACCAAGGCGACGAUCGGUAGCUGGUCUGAGAGGAUGAUCAGCCACACUGGGACUGAGACACGGCCCAGACUCCUACGGGAGGCAGCAGUGGGGAAUUUUGGACAAUGGGGGCAACCCUGAUCCAGCCAUGCCGCGUGAGUGAAGAAGGCC
RNAcentral lists this ribosomal RNA (385 nucleotides) under uncultured bacterium. RNAcentral describes it as "bacterial SSU rRNA". It matches the Rfam family "Bacterial small subunit ribosomal RNA", at positions 28 to 416 of the family's 1533-position model. The record is from RNAcentral.